GGGUUCGAUUAUGGCUCAGAUUGAACGCUGGCGGGAUGCUUUACACAUGCAAGUCGAACGGCAGCACGGACUUCGGUCUGGUGGCGAUGCAGAACGGUGAGUAAUGUAUCGGAACGUGCCUAGUAGCGGGGGAUAACUACGCGAAAAGCGUAGCUAAUACUGCAUACGCCCUUCGGGGAAAGCGGGGGACCUUCGGGCCUCGCACUAUUAGAGCGGCCGAUAUCGGAUUAGCUAGUUGGUGGGGUAACGGCUCACCAAGGCGACGAUCCGUAGCUGGUUUGAGAGGACGACCAGCCACACUGGGACUGAGACACGGCCCAGACUCCUACGGGAGGCAGCAGUGGGGAAUUUUGGACAAUGGGGGAAACCCUGAUCCAGCCAUCCCGCGUGUGCGAUGAAGGCCUUCGGGUUGUAAAGCACUUUUGGCAGGAGUAGAAGAAACGGCACGGGAUAAUACCCCGUGCAACUGACGGUACCUGCAGAAUAAGCACCGGCUAACUACGUGCCAGCAGCCGCGGUAAUACGUAGGGUGCAAGCGUUAAUCGGAAUUACUGGGCGUAAAGCGUGCGCAGGCGGUUCGGAAAGAAAGAUGUGAAAUCCCAGAGCUUAACUUUGGAACUGCAUUUUUAACUACUGAGCUAGAGUGUCAGAGGGAGGUGGAAUUCCAAGUGUAGCAGUGAAAUGCGUAGAUAUGCGGAGGAACACCGAUGGCGAAGGCAGCCUCCUGGGAUAACACUGACGCUCAUGCACGAAAGCGUGGGAGUAAACAGGAUUAGAUACUCCUGGUAGUCCACGCCCUAAACGAUGUCAACUAGCUGUUGGGGCCUUCGGGCCUGGUAGCGCAGCUAACGCGUGAAGUUGACCGCCUGGGGAGUACGGUCGCAAGAUUAAAACUCAAAGGAAUUGACGGGACCGCACAAGCGGUGGAUGAUGAUUAAUUCGAUGCAACGCGAAAACCUUUACCUACCCUUGACAUGUCUGGAAUCCCGAAGAGAUUUGGGAGUGCUCGCAAGAGAACCGGAACACAGGUGCUGCAUGGCUGUCGUCACUCGUGUCGUGAGAUGUUGGGUUAAGUCCCGGCAACGAGCGCAACCCUUGUCAUUAGUUGCUACGAAUUUCACGAGACUGCCGGUGACAAACCGGAGGAAGGUGGAUGACGCUGUCCUCAUGGCCCUUAUGGGUAGGGCUUCACACGUCAUACAAUGGUCGGGACAGAGGGUCGCCAACCUGCGAGGGGGGAGCCAAUCCCAGAAACCCGAUCGUAGUCCGGAUCGCAGUCUGCAACUCGACUGCGUGAAGUCGGAAUCGCUAGUAAUCGUGGAUCAGCAUGUCGCGGUGAAUACGUUCCGGGUCUUGUACACACCGCCCGUCACACCAUGGGAGUGUUUUACCAGAAGUAGUUAGCCUAACCGUAAGGAGGGCGAUUACCACGGUAGGAUUCAUGACUGGGGUAGUCGUACCAAGGUAG
Molecule: ribosomal RNA, 1468 nt
Filed under: uncultured Bordetella sp.
Lineage: Bacteria; Pseudomonadati; Pseudomonadota; Betaproteobacteria; Burkholderiales; Alcaligenaceae
Description: partial 16S-23S ribosomal RNA intergenic spacer
Rfam family: Bacterial small subunit ribosomal RNA
Source: RNAcentral